GACGAACGCUGGCGGCGUGCUUAACACAUGCGAGUCGAACGGAAAGGCCCUGCUCUUGUGGGGUGCUCGAGUGGCGAACGGGUGAGUAACACGUGAGUAACCCGCCCUUGACCUUGGGAUAACUUCAGGAAACUGGGGCUAAUACCGGAUAGGAGCUUCUGAAGCACGGUGGGGGAUGGAAAGUUUUGGCGGUUUGGGAUGGAAUCGCGGCUUAUCCGCCUGUUGGUGGGGUAGUGGCUUACCAAGGCUUUGAAGGGUAGCCGACCUGAGAGGGUGACCGGCCACAUUGGGACUGAGAUACGGACCAGACUCCUACGGGAGGCAGCAGUGGGGAAUAUGGCGCAAUGGGCGGAAGCCUGAUGCAGCAGCGCCGCGUGCGGGAUGACGGCCUUCGGGUUGUAAACCGCUUUCGCCUGUGACGAAGCGUGAGUGACGGUAAUGGGUAAAGAAGCACCGGCUAACUACGUG
Molecule: ribosomal RNA, 468 nt
Filed under: uncultured bacterium
Lineage: Bacteria
Description: partial 16S ribosomal RNA
Rfam family: Bacterial small subunit ribosomal RNA
Source: RNAcentral